Long non-coding RNA from Anguilla rostrata (American eel), 466 nucleotides. RefSeq lists it as uncharacterized. NCBI's taxonomy places the organism in Eukaryota, Metazoa, Chordata, Actinopteri, Anguilliformes, Anguillidae. The record is from RefSeq and is a predicted model, not a curated record. The transcript has 3 exons.
UUUUCAUUACAUUACAUUACAUUACAGGCAUUUGGCAGACGCUCUUAUCCAGAGCGACGUACAACAAAGUGUAUAACCAUAACCAGGAACAAGUAUGACGAAAACCCUAGAGAGAAGUACCGGUCCAAGUGCAGGGAACAACCGCAUAGUUCAACUUGGACCCUGAAGGUUAAACUGAUUAACACUAACACAACGAGAACGUUACAACCCUAAGCUUACAGUCAUUUACAGGGGGGUAGGGAGGGAUGGGGAGAGGUGCAGCCUGAAGAGGUGAGUCUUCAGUCGUCGCUUGAAAUGGGUCAGUGUCUCAGCUGUUCUGACCUCCACGGGGAGGUCAUUCCACCAUCGUGGGGCCAGAACAGACAGGAGACAUGACCAAUGUUUUAAAUUUGAUGCGAGCUAUAACAGGCAGCCAGUGGAGGGUAGUGAGCAGGGGAGUGACGUGGGAGUGUCUGGGGAGGUUGAA